GCUAAAUAUUGGCGAGAGAUUGAUAGCGAACAAGUACCGUGAGGAAAGAUGAAAAGAACUUUGGAAAGAGAGUUAAACAGUACGUGAAAUUGCUGAAAGGGAAACGCUUGAAGUCAGUCGCGUCGUCCGGGAAUCAGCCUUCCUUCUGGUUGGUGUACUUCCUGGUCGACGGGCCAGCAUCAGUUUUGACCGGUGGAAAAAGUUCGAGGGAAUGUGGCACCUCCGGGUGUGUUAUAGCCCUCGUUCGUAUACAUCGGUUGGGACUGAGGAACUCAGCACGCCGCAAGCCGG
RNAcentral lists this ribosomal RNA (291 nucleotides) under Coprinellus sp. RNAcentral describes it as "partial large subunit ribosomal RNA". It matches the Rfam family "Eukaryotic large subunit ribosomal RNA", at positions 315 to 613 of the family's 3401-position model. The record is from RNAcentral. Lineage: Eukaryota; Fungi; Basidiomycota; Agaricomycetes; Agaricales; Psathyrellaceae.